This 292-nucleotide ribosomal RNA is filed under the name uncultured bacterium. RNAcentral's name for it is "partial 16S ribosomal RNA". It matches the Rfam family "Bacterial small subunit ribosomal RNA", at positions 505 to 796 of the family's 1533-position model. The record is from RNAcentral.
GUGUCAGCCGCCGCGGUAAUACAGAGGUCCCAAGCGUUACUGAGAAUCACUGGGUUUAAAGGGUGCGUAGGUGGUCCGUUAAGUCCGUUGUGAAAUCCCCGAGCUCAACUCGGGAACUGCUUCGGAUACUGGCGGACUUGAGGCCAGUAGGGGUCACUAGAACUGACGGUGGAGCGGUGAAAUGCGUAGAUAUCGUCAGGAAUGCCGGUGGUGAAGACGGGUGACUGGGCUGGUUCUGACACUGAGGCACGAAAGCGUGGGGAGCGAACGGGAUUAGAAACCCCCGUAGUCC